CGCGGCCUAUCAGCUUGUUGGUGAGGUAACGGCUCACCAAGGCGAUGACGCGUAGUGGGUCUGAGAGGACGACCCGCCACAUUGGGACUGAGAUACGGCCCAGACUCCUACGGGAGGCAGCAGUAGGGAAUAUUGCGCAAUGGCCGCAAGGCUGACGCAGCGACGCCGCGUGGGGGAAGAAGGCCUUCGGGUCGUAAACCCCUUUCAGCAGGGACGAAAUUGACGGUACCUGCAGAAGAAGCGCCGGCCAACUACGUGCCAGCAGCCGCGGUAAUACGUAGGGCGCAAGCGUUGUCCGGAUUCAUUGGGCGUAAAGGGCUCGUAGGCGGCUUGGCAAGUCGGCCGUGAAAACCCAGGGCUCAACCCUGGGACGCCGGUCGAUACUGCCAUGGCUAGGGUCCGGUAGAGGGGAAUGGAAUUCCCGGUGUAGCGGUGAAAUGCGCAGAUAUCAGGAGGAAUACCGAUAGCGAAGGCAGCACUCUGGGCCGGUACUGACGCUGAGGAGCGAAAGCGUGGGGAGCAAACAGGAUUAGAUACCCUGGUAGUCCACGCCGUAAACGUUGGGCACUAGGUGUGGGUCCCAUCCAACGGGAUCCGUGCCGCAGCUAACGCAUUAAGUGCCCCGCCUGGGGAGUACGG
RNAcentral lists this ribosomal RNA (639 nucleotides) under uncultured Actinomycetes bacterium. RNAcentral's name for it is "bacterial SSU rRNA". It matches the Rfam family "Bacterial small subunit ribosomal RNA", at positions 232 to 885 of the family's 1533-position model. Lineage: Bacteria; Bacillati; Actinomycetota; Actinomycetes. The record is from RNAcentral.